Molecule: long non-coding RNA, 252 nt
Filed under: Arabidopsis lyrata
Lineage: Eukaryota; Viridiplantae; Streptophyta; Magnoliopsida; Brassicales; Brassicaceae
Description: long non-coding RNA (ALYR_LNC000460)
Source: RNAcentral
UUAGCCGGAAAGAACGUCAAAGAACGUUCGAGCUAAACCAGCUAGGUGAGCUGGACAAGCUGAAUGAACAAGCUAGCUCAGCUAGGUGAGCUAAACCAGCUGGAGGACUAGCUAGCUCAGCUAGGUGAGCUGACCGGCAGCUCAACCGAGCUCGGUGAACUGAUCGAGUACUGACCCAGCUGGGUGGUCUGGUCAGCUGACACUCGAGCUGGUGGACUGUCGUAGCUCGGGGAUGAAGAGGUGUCUCGGCCA